Bos taurus (domestic cattle) is the source of this 463-nucleotide long non-coding RNA. The record is from Ensembl. NCBI's taxonomy places the organism in Eukaryota, Metazoa, Chordata, Mammalia, Artiodactyla, Bovidae.
CUCUCGCAGGCAGACUGCCCGGGAAGACGCGCCCGCGCUCACCUCUAAUGCGCUGGGCCCAGCACGCGUGAAGCCUGGCCCCUCACAGAGCUCCCAGACGCCUGCGUGCUGGUUACAACUAGAAUUCCUACGGCAAGUUCAUUGUUAAAGUCCGACCACAUGUCGACUGCUUACCAGGAACUUUGCAUAUACAUCUCUCAGAAGCUCCCACAGCCCUGGGAAGUAGUCAGCUCUCUCCCCACUCCACAGAACUGUGGCUCACAUGGGGUAGGGGUUUGCCAGGAGCCAGGGCAGCAGUUCUUGGGCCUCACUUGCCCAAGGCUGCUGAAUCAGAACAUCUGGGAAUGAAGGGGACCCAAGCAUCUGCAUGUAAACUAGCUCACGAGCUAGCCUGUUCAGUCUCCUUUCUGCUUCUCUGAAUUGAUUGGAGGCUACAAUCAAAUAACAACAACGAAGACCUCUG